UCGGUGUUGCUCUGUUGAUCGUAAGUUCCAUCUAUGAAACCCAAUUUGUUUUUGGCUUUCAAAGCUAUUUUGAUUGCUCUCUCCCAUGUGUUGUAAUUGUUGCCAUUGAGGAUGUUGGAUACCAAGACCAAUCCAGGAUGGUCGGCACUGUGAAGGAAGAAGGGGUUUUGGGAAUCAUCCGUUUGCUCUCUAGCCAUUGAAGAUUAAAGUUUGAAACUCAAUCACUAAGCUGAAAAAAAAUUUGUUUGAUAAAAAAAAACACUCUGAUACCAUGUUAGGAACGGAGAAGAAGAAAGAGAAUGAUGGAGAAAAAUUACUCUGAGUUUUUUGAU
Molecule: long non-coding RNA, 332 nt
Filed under: Carica papaya (papaya)
Lineage: Eukaryota; Viridiplantae; Streptophyta; Magnoliopsida; Brassicales; Caricaceae
Description: long non-coding RNA (CPAP_LNC005568)
Source: RNAcentral